This 318-nucleotide ribosomal RNA is filed under the name Triticum aestivum (bread wheat). RNAcentral's name for it is "partial small subunit ribosomal RNA". The record is from RNAcentral. Lineage: Eukaryota; Viridiplantae; Streptophyta; Magnoliopsida; Poales; Poaceae.
AUGGGGAAGACAGAGCCAACACCGCCGAUGCCCACGGGCCACUUCAGUCAGGCGCCUUCCAUUCUUCCUCCCUUAGGAUUUUCAAUCCAAGGUGAGCGGUUUACUAAAAUUGUAGCCAGUCCAUACUACAUGCUCCCAGAGGUAUUAAAGCACAACUAUGGCCCUGAAAUCGAUGUCUGGAUUGUAGGAGUUAUACUUUACGUACUUCUUUGUGGUGUGCAAACAUUUUUGGAAGAUUCUGAACAGGUCAUAGCACAAGCAAUUAUGAGCUCUGUGAUAGAUUUUUCAGGACCCCGAUUCUAUGUCACACCGAUCUAA